CCUGAGGACAGGACACAACUUUGAG
RNAcentral lists this non-coding RNA (25 nucleotides) under Cricetulus griseus (Chinese hamster). The record is from RNAcentral. Lineage: Eukaryota; Metazoa; Chordata; Mammalia; Rodentia; Cricetidae.